RNAcentral lists this transfer RNA (86 nucleotides) under Acetobacter aceti. RNAcentral's name for it is "tRNA-Leu". It matches the Rfam family "tRNA". Rfam says of the family: Transfer RNA (tRNA) molecules are approximately 80 nucleotides in length. Their secondary structure includes four short double-helical elements and three loops (D, anti-codon, and T loops). RNAcentral also lists the same sequence under 4 other names. Lineage: Bacteria; Pseudomonadati; Pseudomonadota; Alphaproteobacteria; Acetobacterales; Acetobacteraceae. The record is from RNAcentral.
GCGAACUUGGCGGAAUGGUAGACGCACGAGACUUAAAAUCUCGAGUCCGUAAGGGCGUGCGGGUUCGAGUCCCGCAGUUCGCACCA